CGUCAAGUCAGCAUGGCCUUUAUGUCCAGGGCUACACACGUGCUACAAUGGGCGAUACAGAGGGAAGCAAGGCCGCAAGGUAGAGCUAAUCCCUAAAGUCGUCCUCAGUUCGGAUUGCAGGCUGCAACUCGCCUGCAUGAAGUCGGAAUCGCUAGUAAUCGCGGAUCAGCUACGCCGCGGUGAAUACGUUCUCGGGCCUU
RNAcentral lists this ribosomal RNA (200 nucleotides) under uncultured Aminicenantes bacterium. Its description in RNAcentral is "partial 16S ribosomal RNA". It matches the Rfam family "Bacterial small subunit ribosomal RNA", at positions 1183 to 1382 of the family's 1533-position model. Lineage: Bacteria; Candidatus Aminicenantota. The record is from RNAcentral.